CAAGGCUAAAACUCAAAGGAAUUGACGGGGACCCGCACAAGCGGUGGAGCAUGUGGUUUAAUUCGAUGCAACGCGAAGAACCUUACCUGGUCUUGACAUACAGAGAACUUUCCAGAGAUGGAUUGGUGCCUUCGGGAACUCUGAUACAGGUGCUGCAUGGCUGUCGUCAGCUCGUGUCGUGAGAUGUUGGGUUAAGUCCCGUAACGAGCGCAACCCUUAUCCUUAUUUGCCAGCACUUCGGGUGGGAACUAUAAGGAGACUGCCGGUGAUAAACCGGAGGAAGGCGGGGACGACGUCAAGUCAUCAUGGCCCUUACGACCAGGGCUACACACGUGCUACAAUGGGAAGGACAAAGGGUCGCUAAGCCGCGAGGUGGUGCUAAUCUCAUAAACCUUUUCGUAGUCCGGAUCGGAGUCUGCAACUCGACUCCGUGAAGUCGGAAUCGCUAGUAAUCGUGGAUCAGAACGCCACGGUGAAUACGUUCCCGGGUCUUGUACACACCGCCCGUCAUACCAUGGGAGUGGGUUGCACCAGAAGUGGGUAGUCUAACUUAGGAGGACGCUCACCACGGUGUGAUUCAUGACUGGGGUAAAGUCGUAACA
Molecule: ribosomal RNA, 602 nt
Filed under: uncultured bacterium
Lineage: Bacteria
Description: bacterial SSU rRNA
Rfam family: Bacterial small subunit ribosomal RNA
Source: RNAcentral